CUGCACAGGCAUUGCAUGGCUGUCAUCAGCCCGUGGCGACAAGCUGUCUGAGCGCUAAGCUCAGAAACGGGCAUCUCCCCUACUCAAAGGUGUUCUUUGAGACUGUUAUCUUUUUGAAUAUUAGAUAAAGGAAGCAGGGACGAAGUCAAGUCAUCAUGGUCCUUAUGAAGUGGGCCACACGUGUGUGACAACGGAAGUCACAAUAGCAAGCACCGGUGAAAGCCAUAGCAACGCUUUAAAAACUUUCGUAGUGCGGAUAAGAGCCUGAAACUCGGCUCUUUGAAGGCGGAAUCGCCAGUAAUCGUAGGUCAGCAAACUACGGUGAAAUUUGUAUGCUUGUCUCAACGACGCAUCGCCCGUCACGGUGAGAGAGUGGUGCGCGCUGGAAAACAAGAAAGGUUUAUAGUAGAAAGACGCCAGAAUGGUUCAAAUGUUGUUGAAUCGCAAUAACUACUUUAGAUUUUUUUUGUUGAAUGUGUGUGUCGCGAUUCCAUUGAAGUCGUAACAAGGUAGCUGUACGGGAACGUGUAGCUG
RNAcentral lists this ribosomal RNA (534 nucleotides) under Bracteacoccus minor. Its description in RNAcentral is "SSU rRNA". It matches the Rfam family "Bacterial small subunit ribosomal RNA", at positions 1030 to 1520 of the family's 1533-position model. The record is from RNAcentral. Lineage: Eukaryota; Viridiplantae; Chlorophyta; Chlorophyceae; Sphaeropleales; Bracteacoccaceae.